GGCCGAUACUUUAUUCGACCCGGAUAAAACCGACCAAGGUUUGUGUCUGUCCUCAAUCUCUCCGAGCAGCCGACGACGUCGUUCCGUUAUUCGCAGCUAUCGUAAUCGUUAGUAAAAAAACAACUUAACCUAGCAAAACAUCCAAAGCGCUGAGGAAGAAGCUUCCAUCUCUCGAUUGUAGUUGUAGAGGGUAGCAUUGAGCAAUCGAACAAUGGAGGGCAGAGAUAAUGAGGAAAAAGGGCCCGAAGCGGAAGAAGGUAGGAACUACUGCAGAGGACUGUCGAAGAGCGCACAGAAGAAGCUGUUAAAGCAGCAGAAAUGGGAAGCGAAGAAGGCAGAGAAGAAAGCUCUGGAAAAAGAGCAGAAGAAGAGAGAGGGGGAGCGGAAGCGGAAGGAAUGGGAGGAGAGAUUGGCGAGCGUUAGCGAAGAGGAGAGGGGGAAGCUGAUAGAGUCGAGGAAGAGUUUAAGGAAGGAGAGGAUGGAGCAGAGGUCAGAGGAGAGAGAGAGAAACACAGAGAGACUGAGCAGAGCCAAAGAGUGCGGACAGAAGAUUGUGAUCGAUCUCGAAUUCUCUCACCUCAUGACCCCAGCCGAGAUCAACAGCCUCGUUCAACAGAUUAUGUAUUGUUACGCGGUGAAUAAAAGAUGCAGGGAGCCGGGUCAUCUAUGGUUGACGGGGUGCAAGGGAGAGAUGGGUACGCAACUGAAGAGGCUCCCGGGGUUUGAUAAUUGGAUUAUAGAGAAGGAAGAUCGAUCGUACAUGGAAGCUUUGGAGGAUGAAAAGCAAAAUCUGGUAUAUCUGACAGCUGAUUCAGAAAAUGUGGUUGAUGAUCUUGAUUCAAGCAAGAUAUACAUUGUUGGGGGGCUGGUGGAUCGGAAUCGGUGGAAAGGGAUCACCAUGAAGAAAGCAGAGGAGCAGGGCAUUCAAACGGCAAAGCUUCCCAUAGCCAACUACUUAAACAUGUCCUCUUCCCAGGUGCUGACUGUGAAUCAAGUGAUAGAGAUUCUGCUCAAGUUUUUGGAAACAAAGAAUUGGAAGGACUCUUUCUUCCAAGUGAUUCCUCAAAGAAAAAGAUGCCAAGCGGAUUCAGAGCAAUCUCAACAAGUGAAAGGGGGAGAAAAUGGAAUUGACAGUGAAGAGAAAAAUGAUCAAUUUGAAAGCAAAAAACAGUGUGCUCAAGACUCAACAAGUCAAGCCCCUUCCCAUGAUUAAUUAGAGCAUUGUGACUGUGCAUUUUUGAAUGAAUGGAAAAGUUGUCUAAAUUUGAUAUAUCAAUAUUCAUCAUGGUGUACUGGUGUACUGGUGUGUUUGAAUUUUUGUAUCCAACUUGUUUUGCUUGAGGGAAUCAAAUUGUGGGGUUCUAAAAUGUGAACCUUAUUUGGUAAAGGAUGAAUUUUAAUUCUUUCAUGCAAAAUCGUAAACAGUGUGUAGUUAUUAUUAUUUUUAUUUGUGAUAAGACGUCUAUGUAGAUUGAAGGUUAUUUCAAGCACUUUGACUUCAGUGAGGAGCAGGGAAUCCGAUGGAUAGAAUAGAUACAAAGGCUUGUUUGGAAGCUGGGCAAUUGAGGGAGAAGCAUCCAAAUUAUGAACCAGUAACAAUUUCACUCCAUCAAUCAUGUUUACUUCCUAUGCAUUCAGUGGGAUGUACCUGUUCUAAUUUGAGCUUUCAUGCAUGUGCUUGUGGAGAAGUAUGCAAGAUAAAUACCAUGCCCCUGCUAAUACGCCUCUUGGAGAACUUGUUGAUUUUAUUCAGUUACAGAGCGGGCUCAGCAUAAAGAAGCCUAUAUUUGUCUUUUUCAAGAACACUAUAACCCAGACUGGUGAGUUGCUACUCAAUUAGAUUUAAGCAAGAUAUGCAUUGUUGACGACUGGUGGAUCGGAAUCGGUGGAAAGGGAUCACCAUGAAGAAAGAAAGCAGACGGGCAGGGCAUCCAAAAGGCAAAACUUAUCAUAGCCAACUACUUGAACACUGUUUGACGGAGGUUGAGUUACCAUUGUUGUUGUUUUGGUUUUGGUGGGUUAGGCUGAUUCAGAGGGACCUCCAAAAGUAAAAGGGGAAGAAAGUGAAAGAGAGGGUGAAGAGAAAAUGCCUCUUGGGGAAUUUGUUGAUUUUAUACUUCAAGAACACUAAACCUCCCGCUGGUGUGUUGGAACUCAUUUCUAUUUUAGGCAUACGACCUUGUUCCCAAAGUUGUGGUUGUAUAAUUCUUUUAAUGUCACAGGUGCCAGGAUAUAAAACUACUACAAGGACGACUAUGCAGGUCAAAACCUACUUUUUCUAAAUACUAUUUCUGAUAAGAAGAGUCUCAGAGCUCCCAGAGUUUGCACUUUUUCUAAUGCUACUUAAGGGCAUUCUUGCCCUUCAUUGGAUCCACACAGUUUUUCUUCUCCACUGUAGGUCAUGUGAAGAAAUCCAUCUUCACCCUUAUUUUCCUCAUCAAGGCACCUGUAAGUUAACAUUGGAAGAAUUAUUACAACCACAACUUUGUGAACAACAUAUUAUGCCUAAAAAAAAAAUUGCAACUCACCAGUGGGGGGUUCAGUGUUCUUGGAAAACACAAAUAUAGGCUUCUUUAUGCUGAGCUCGAUCUGUAACCGAACAAAAUCAACAAAUUUUCCAAGAGGCAUCUCACCAUGGACAUGGAAUCUGCCGUCAGAAAAAUAGGAUGGGCAAUAAAACUAUGUAAGAACACAUUCAUUUAAUACCAGGCUAUGAACACGAAUGAACUUUGAGUUUGCCUUUCUAGUAAUAAGUAGGUCUUCCUUUAUGUAUGCA
RNA transcript from Prunus persica (peach), 2776 nucleotides. It is a transcript of the gene named tRNA (guanine(9)-N1)-methyltransferase, with no coding region annotated. The record is from RefSeq and is a predicted model, not a curated record. The transcript has 5 exons. Lineage: Eukaryota; Viridiplantae; Streptophyta; Magnoliopsida; Rosales; Rosaceae.